GCACUGCUGAGAAGUUCCACAACAGGACGAAACGGCUGUCCAGUGC
Molecule: non-coding RNA, 46 nt
Organism: Schistosoma margrebowiei
Lineage: Eukaryota; Metazoa; Platyhelminthes; Trematoda; Strigeidida; Schistosomatidae
Source: Rfam